Molecule: ribosomal RNA, 453 nt
Filed under: Globigerina bulloides
Lineage: Eukaryota; Foraminifera; Rotaliida; Globigerinidae
Description: bacterial SSU rRNA
Rfam family: Eukaryotic small subunit ribosomal RNA
Source: RNAcentral
GCACCACAAGAGCGUGGAGUAUGUGGCUUAAUUUGACUCAACGCGGAAAAGCUUAUCUGGUCCGGACGCAGUGAGGAUUGACAGACAGUUUCAGGAGUGGUUCUUGGUAAACAAUUGAGAGAGUUGAAGUUCUUUCAUGAUCUUGUGAGAGGUGGUGCAUGGCCGUUCUUAGUUCGUGUAGUGAUAUGUCUGCCUAAUCGCGUCACGAUAACCUAUUGGUCGACAACCCAAUUAUCACAACUGCAGCAUAACUCCCCUUGGGUGGGCGAGGCUCUGUGUAGGAUAGACCUCUGAACAGUACGCAACGAACGCGAUCGUAAUCCCUUGUUGAGUGGCCAUCCUGUAAGCUGCUGGAUUAGGAACCCAGUGGUAUUAUCUCAGCCACAGAUUUUCUGGUUGUAAUGGGCCAUUUUGAAACUCGGGGAACAUCUGUGACUUUCUUUCUUAACGCAA